RNAcentral lists this long non-coding RNA (643 nucleotides) under Manihot esculenta (cassava). RNAcentral describes it as "long non-coding RNA (MESC_LNC008922)". The record is from RNAcentral. Lineage: Eukaryota; Viridiplantae; Streptophyta; Magnoliopsida; Malpighiales; Euphorbiaceae.
GUCGUGUUUAUGGGAUUUUUUUUUUAUUUUUUUCAAUCAUCAAUUUGGAUUUUUCUUUUUUUUUUUUAUUACAAGCAGACAAUUUUGGUGGGCAACUAUUUAUCGAAAGUAAGCAAAGGGUAUAAUAUAUUAAUUGAAAAUGGUAUGGAUUAAUCUCUGUUCGGCGAUGUUGGUGCUGAAACUCCGGAUAUCUUUAGUAGUAUAUCUAUUGGUGAUGGUUUUGGAAACUAGUUUCUCUUGUCGCCCAUGACUAUCGUUGGUUUGCUCUGCGACUGGAAUUGUAAAAGCCAUUUCGACUGUGUGGGUACCGUGGAUUGGGACGGUGCUGGGUCUAUACUAGCUCAGUGCAGUGGAUGACGUGUUUGGAAGGCUUCCAGCUGUCUGUUGGUCUUGCUUUUCUGAGUUGAGUUGGGUUUGAUUUGUGGAUUGGAUCCUUGAGUUUCUUUAGGCUAUGGAGUUUGAUUGUUAGUGUAUUGAUAUUGUCCUGUACUAGGCUAUGUUAAAAUGCAAUAUCAUUUGCAUUGUUAAAAAAAAAAGUUAUCAUUUGAAAAAAAAAUUAUUAUUAUAUUUAAUUUUUAUAUGAAAGUAACUUCAUUAGUUUAUUGGAUUAAUUUUUGUUGCCUUUUUAGCAUUGUGUUAUGUA